This 251-nucleotide long non-coding RNA is filed under the name Lathyrus oleraceus (garden pea). RNAcentral describes it as "Pisum sativum (pea) long non-coding RNA (PSAT_LNC002723)". The record is from RNAcentral. Lineage: Eukaryota; Viridiplantae; Streptophyta; Magnoliopsida; Fabales; Fabaceae.
UUUGCUUCUGCACUUCUUCUUUAAUCUUAACUGCCAUUUCAGGAUGAGUUCUUCUCAACUUCUGCUUGACUGGCGGGCAUUUUGGCUUCAAUGGCAAUCUAUGCUCCAUAAUCUCAGAAUCUAAACCAGGCAUGUCUUGAUAGGACCAAGCAAACAAAUCGGAAUAUUUUCGAAGAAGAUCAAUCAACCCCUUCUUAGCUUCUGGACACAGUUAAGACCCAAUCUUGACUUUCUUCACAUCAUCCUCGGAA